UGGCGGCGUGCCUAAUACAUGCAAGUCGAGCGAACUGAUUAGAAGCUUGCUUCUAUGACGUUAGCGGCGGACGGGUGAGUAACACGUGGGCAACCUGCCUGUAAGACUGGGAUAACUCCGGGAAACCGGAGCUAAUACCGGAUAACAUUUUCUCUUGCAUAAGAGAAAAUUGAAAGAUGGUUUCGGCUAUCACUUACAGAUGGGCCCGCGGUGCAUUAGCUAGUUGGUGAGGUAACGGCUCACCAAGGCAACGAUGCAUAGCCGACCUGAGAGGGUGAUCGGCCACACUGGGACUGAGACACGGCCCAGACUCCUACGGGAGGCAGCAGUAGGGAAUCUUCCGCAAUGGACGAAAGUCUGACGGAGCAACGCCGCGUGAGUGAUGAAGGCUUUCGGGUCGUAAAACUCUGUUGUUAGGGAAGAACAAGUACAAGAGUAACUGCUUGUACCUUGACGGUACCUAACCAGAAAGCCACGGCUAACUACGUGCCAGCAGCCGGUAAAUA
This 506-nucleotide ribosomal RNA is filed under the name Priestia flexa. Its description in RNAcentral is "bacterial SSU rRNA". It matches the Rfam family "Bacterial small subunit ribosomal RNA", at positions 37 to 525 of the family's 1533-position model. Lineage: Bacteria; Bacillati; Bacillota; Bacilli; Caryophanales; Bacillaceae. The record is from RNAcentral.